GUAGGAAGUGAUGAAGAAAAGGUUGGUCCGUGUUUCUGAUUUGUCAGUGACUGAUAACCAUCUCUCUUUGCUUCUGAUCCUAC
RNAcentral lists this small nucleolar RNA (83 nucleotides) under Oryza sativa (Asian cultivated rice). RNAcentral describes it as "Z116 small nucleolar RNA". Lineage: Eukaryota; Viridiplantae; Streptophyta; Magnoliopsida; Poales; Poaceae. The record is from RNAcentral.